UACGUAGGGGGCAAGCGUUGUCCGGAUUUAUUGGGCGUAAAGAGCGCGUAGGCGGCUAGGUAGGUCCGUUGUGAAAACUCGAGGCUCAACCUCGAGACGCCGGUGGAAACCAUCUAGCUAGAGUCCGGAAGAGGAGAGUGGAAUUCCUGGUGUAGCGGUGAAAUGCGCAGAUAUCAGGAAGAACACCCGUGGCGAAGGCGGCUCUCUGG
Molecule: ribosomal RNA, 209 nt
Filed under: uncultured bacterium
Lineage: Bacteria
Description: partial 16S ribosomal RNA
Rfam family: Bacterial small subunit ribosomal RNA
Source: RNAcentral